UACGUAGGUGGCAAGCGUUGUCCGGAUUUACUGGGCGUAAAGGGCUUGUAGGCGGUUCGUUAAGUCUGGUGUGAAAUCUCCCGGCUCAACCGGGAGGGGUCAUCGGAUACUGGCGAGCUAGAGGUGGGCAGAGGAAGGCAGAAUUCCUGGUGUAGCGGUGAAAUGCGUAGAUAUCAGGAGGAAUACCAGUGGCGAAGGCGGCCUUCUGGGCCUAUCCUGACGCUGAGGAGCGAAAGCGUGGGGAGCAAACCGG
Molecule: ribosomal RNA, 253 nt
Filed under: uncultured bacterium
Lineage: Bacteria
Description: partial 16S ribosomal RNA
Rfam family: Bacterial small subunit ribosomal RNA
Source: RNAcentral